UGACAUGAGUAGCGAUAAAGGGGGUGAAAAGCCCCCUCGCCGUAAGUCCAAGGUUUCCUGCGCAACGUUCAUCGGCGCAGGGUGAGUCGGCCCCUAAGGCGAGGCAGAGAUGCGUAGCUGAUGGGAAGCUGGUUAAUAUUCCAGCACCGUCGUACAGUGCGAUGGGGGGACGGAUCGCGGAGAAUCAUCAGGGUGUUGGAAGUCCCUGUUGCUGCAUUAGAGAGGGCGCUUAGGCAAAUCCGGGCGCAUGACUCAAGGGUGUGGCACGAGCGAACAUGUUUCGCGAAGUGAUUGGAAGUGGUUCCAAGAAAAGCCUCUAAGCUUCAGCUGUACGAGACCGUACCGCAAACCGACACAGGUGGACGGGAUGAAUAUUCCAAGGCGCUUGAGAGAACUCGGGAGAAGGAACUCGGCAAAUUGAUACCGUAACUUCGGGAGAAGGUAUGCCCCGGUAGUGUGAGGCGCCUGCGCGCUGAGCAUGAUGGGGUCGCAGAGAAUCGGUGGCUGCGACUGUUUAUUAAAAACACAGCACUCUGCAAAGACGAAAGUCGACGUAUAGGGUGUGACGCCUGCCCGGUGCCGGAAGGUUAAGUGAUGGGGUGCAAGCUCUUGAUCGAGGCCCCGGUAAACGGCGGCCGUAACGAUAACGGUCCUAAGGUAGCGAAAUUCCUUGUCGGGUAAGUUCCGACCUGCACGAAUGGCGUAACGAUGGCCACACUGUCUCCUCCCGAGACUCAGCGAAGUUGAAGUGUUUGUGAUGAUGCAAUCUACCCGCGGCUAGACGGAAAGACCCCAUGAACCUUUACUGUAGCUUUGCAUUGGACUGUGAACCGGCCUGUGUAGGAUAGGUGGGAGGCGCUGAAACCGAGUCGCUAGAUUCGGUGGAGCCAACCUUGAAAUACCACCCUGGUUUGUUUGCGGUUCUAACCUUGGUCCGUUAUCCGGAUUGGGGACAGUGCAUGGUGGGCAGUUUGACUGGGGCGGUCUCCUCCCAAAGCGUAACGGAGGAGUUCGAAGGUACGCUAGGUACGGUCGGAAAUCGUGCUGAUAGUGCAAUGGCAUAAGCGUGCUUGACUGUGAGACUGACAAGUCGAACAGGUGCGAAAGCAGGACAUAGUGAUCCGGUGGUUCUGAAUGAAGGGCCAUCGCUCAACGGAUAAAAGGUACUCUGGGGAUAACAGGCUGAUACCGCCCAAGAGUUCAUAUCGACGGCGGUGUUUGGCACCUCGAUGUCGGCUCAUCUCAUCCUGGGGCUGUAGCCGGUCCCAAGGGUAUGGCUGUUCGCCAUUUAAAGAGGUACGUGAGCUGGGUUUAAAACGUCGUGAGACAGUUUGGUCCCUAUCUGCCGUGGGCGUUGGAUACUUGACGGAGCCUGCUCCUAGUACGAGAGGACCGGAGUGGACGUACCUCUGGUGUACCGGUUGUCAUGCCAAUGGCAUUGCCGGGUAGCUAUGUACGGAAGAGAUAACCGCUGAAGGCAUCUAAGCGGGAAACUCGUCUGAAGAUUAGGUAUCCCGGGGCCUCGAGCCCCCUGAAGGGUCGUUCAAGACCAGGACGUUGAUAGGUCAGGUGUGGAAGCGCAGUAAUGCGUUAAGCUAACUGAUACUAAUUGCCCGUGCGGCUUGAUC
Molecule: ribosomal RNA, 1628 nt
Filed under: metagenome
Description: bacterial LSU rRNA
Rfam family: Bacterial large subunit ribosomal RNA
Source: RNAcentral